GACGAACGCUGGCGGCGUGCUUAACACAUGCAAGUCGAACGGAAAGGCCCCUUUGGGGGUCCUCGAGUGGCGAACGGGUGAGUAACACGUGAGUAACCUGCCCUUGACUUCGGGAUAACUUCAGGAAACUGGGGCUAAUACCGGAUAGGAAUCCUUGCUGCAUGGUGGGGGUUGGAAAGCUUCGGCGGUUUUGGAUGGACUCACGGCUUAUCAGCUUGUUGGUGGGGUAGUGGCUUACCAAGGCUUUGACGGGUAGCCGGCCUGAGAGGGCGACCGGCCACAUUGGGACUGAGAUACGGCCCAGACUCCUACGGGAGGCAGCAGUGGGGAAUAUUGCACAAGGGGCGGAAGCCUGAUGCAGCAACGCCGCGUGCGGGAUGACGGCCUUCGGGUUGUAAACCGCUUUCAGCAGGGGCGAAGCUUGUGGUGACGGUACCUGCAGAAGAAGCACCGGCUAACUACGUG
RNAcentral lists this ribosomal RNA (465 nucleotides) under uncultured bacterium. RNAcentral's name for it is "partial 16S ribosomal RNA". It matches the Rfam family "Bacterial small subunit ribosomal RNA", at positions 28 to 507 of the family's 1533-position model. The record is from RNAcentral.